RNAcentral lists this ribosomal RNA (504 nucleotides) under uncultured bacterium. Its description in RNAcentral is "bacterial SSU rRNA". It matches the Rfam family "Bacterial small subunit ribosomal RNA", at positions 9 to 507 of the family's 1533-position model. The record is from RNAcentral.
GAGUUUGAUCCUGGCUCAGAUUGAACGCUGGCGGCAUGCUUUACACAUGCAAGUCGAACGGCAGCGCGGGGGCAACCCUGGCGGCGAGUGGCGAACGGGUGAGUAAUGCAUCGGAACGUAUCCUGUAAUGGGGGAUAACGUAGCGAAAGUUACGCUAAUACCGCAUACGCUCGAGAGAGGAAAGUGGGGGAUCGCAAGACCUCACGUUAUAGGAGCGGCCGAUGCCCGAUUAGCUAGUUGGUGGGGUAAAGGCCUACCAAGGCGACGAUCGGUAGCUGGUCUGAGAGGAUGAUCAGCCACACUGGGACUGAGACACGGCCCAGACUCCUACGGGAGGCAGCAGUGGGGAAUUUUGGACAAUGGGCGAAAGCCUGAUCCAGCCAUGCCGCGUGCGGGAAGAAGGCCUUCGGGUUGUAAACCGCUUUAGUCCGGGAAAAAGGGGUGCGAGGAUAAUACCCUUGUGCUUUGAUGGUACUGGAAGAAUAAGCACCGGCUAACUACGUG